GCAUGUGAAGAGGCUUUUAACUUUUAUUAACUACGGUUGUAAGCUGUGAAAAGCACAAAUUUGAAAACAAUGAAUAAAUAAUGGAGAAAUGUGCUUCAAUUAUGGUUUAUAAAUGUAUCAGUCAAGUGAUUUAGUGUUAAAGUGACCACCACCACCCACCCACCCACCCACCACCAUGUAGUGGGGGUGGCUAGGGUUCGGUCGAGCAGUCUGCCCUGAUACUCUGUGAAGUGAAGAUCUGCGUGUCCUGCUACUCUCAUCCUGCCGGUACGUUUGCUAUUGUCUCAUUGGUGUGGUGACUGUGACCUGCCCUGACCUGCCUGUGACCUGCCCUGACCUGCCUGUGAACUGCUUUUGACCUGCCUUGACUUGCUCUGACACACAUGGUGAACCGAGACCUUCCGAGACCUUCCAAGACCUUCCAAAAUCUGCCGUGACCCACAGAUGAAGAUGUAUAGAUUUAAGAAGUGCGAUGAUGCAACACAGACAGACAGACAGGUGUGGGAUAAGUGCUGGCAUACUGAAGGUCAAGAGGUCAAGAGUCAUGUGUUGAGUUGUAUGGGUCACCAGACAGGUCACCCACCUAACCCCACUCGGCCUGUCAGUUCAGCGGCAACACUGUCAUGGAAGAAUUUGCCGCAAGCUGUGCCUCUCUGUGCUUGUUAUCCGAACCUUGUGUCUAAUAUUGCCUUAAUGUUGUGUGUGUGUGUGUGUGUGUGUGAGAGAGAGAGAGAGAGAGAGAGAGAGAGAGAGAGAGAGAGAGAGAGAGAGAGAGAGAGAGAGAGAGAGAGAGAGAGAGAGAGAGAGAGAGAGAGAGAGAGAGAGAGAGAGAGAGAGAGAGAGAUUUUGUUACUCGUCAUGUCCCCUGUACCAACUGAAGACCUCCACCAGACCCCCUCUUAGUCACCCUUGUUGUGUCCCCUGUACCACUUGAAGACCUCCACCAGACCCCCUCUUAGUCACCCUUGUUGUGUCCCCUGUACCACUUGAAGACCUCCACCAGACCCCCUCUUAGUCACCCUUGUUGUGUCCCCUGUACCACUUGAAGACCUCCACCAGACCCCCUCUUAGUCACCCUUGUUGUGUCCCCUGUACCACUUGAAGGUCUCCACCAGACCCCCUCUUAGUCACCCUUCUCUGAGGUACAACAGUGUCUAGUCAUCCUUCCUAUGUCAUCCUUGUGUAAUCAGGAAUAAUUAUCAGCAUUUGUUCUCCUCCUCUUCCUCCUCCUUCUGUCUGUCUGUCUGUCUGUCUGUCUGUCUGUCUGUCUGUCUGUCUGUCUGCCUACCAGUUAAAAUGAUCAAUGUAGUCAGUUAUACUUGUGGAUACUGUGUGUGUGUGUGUGUGUGUGUGUGUGUGUGCGUGCGUGUAUAUGAAUUAAUGUUUAUUGUGAAGUAUCUGCCUGCCUGCUUGCAAAUUAAUCAUCAAUAUAGUUACUGUUUGUGUGUGUUUGUGUGUUAUAAAGCAAUCUUGUGUAUAUUAUUGAUUGUAUUCCACAUGUAUGGGCUGGCCAGACGUGAUGUACUGUGACAGCCAGAACCUUGACAUAUACUGCUUGAUAAAAUGAAAAUAAGCAAAAAAACAUGAAUAAAGUACAAAUUUUGAGCCGAACUAAUGAGGACUUUCUCUCGUCUUUUUCAGAGGUGCGUACAUCUGCGAGUCACUCCAACCAACCUCUUAUAUCCUACCUUAUUCUGAUAUAUUAGGUUAGAUUCAGUUAGGUUACUUAUAUUGGGGGCCUGUCUUCCUUACUAACCUAACCUAACCUAACCCAUUCCUUCCUUCUCGUCAAGCUGUUGGUGGGAGAAGCCCCAGGACUCUCAAGCGUGGGUUGAGUCACAACUGCGGGUGUGCUAGCUCACCUUGAAGUCAGACGGGGCUCACGUGUUGCAGUGUUGCAGUGUUGCAGUGUUGCAGAUCUUCACCCAAACAAGGGGAGUAUUGUUUUUUUGUGUUUUGUAUAUAUAUAUAUAUUUUUGUGGGGGGAGGGGGUCUGGGGAUAGCUAUCUGCGGUGUGCGUCUGUGCGUGCGUCUGUGUGUGCGUCUGUGUGUGCGUCUGUGCACGUGCGUCUGUGUGCGUGCAUCUGUGUGUAUGUCUUUUUUUUGGUUGUGUGUGUGUGAAUUUUUUUUUGGUAUAAAUAUAUAGGUGGCAGGCCAUAGUGUUAGGAUAUUUGACAGAUUAAUAUAGAAGAUAGUUUAAGUUAGUUAUUAAUAUAGAAGAUGGUUUAAGUUAGUUAAGGGUUAAGUGAGGCAUAGAGAGAGAGAGAGAGAGGGAAGACAGAUAUUAAUAGGAUUAGCUUAUAUUUUUUUUAGGGUUUUAAGUAAGUAUCUAGGUGGCAGGUCAGAAUGAUAUAAUAUUUGACACAGAUUAAUAUAGAAGAUGGUUUUAAGUUAGUAUAUAUCAAAGGGUUAAGUGAGGCAUAGAGAGAGAGAGAGAAAGGGUUAAUAGUAUUAGGAUGACAGGAGUAUAUAUCAAAGGGUUAAGUGAGGCAUAGAGAGAGAGAGAGAGAGAUAGGGUUAUUAAUAGGAUGACAGGAGUAUAUAUCAAAGGGUUAAGUGAGGCAUAGAAAGGGUUAUUAAUAGGAUUAGGAUGACAGGUGUGUAUGAAUGUUUAACUCAGAUUAUAUUGAAAGUUUAUUUCUUUAUAAUCUGAGUUUGUAUGGCAUGUUGAGUAUUAGUAUGUUAUUUUUGUAGUGGU
Molecule: long non-coding RNA, 2698 nt
Organism: Scylla paramamosain (green mud crab)
Lineage: Eukaryota; Metazoa; Arthropoda; Malacostraca; Decapoda; Portunidae
Exons: 6
Source: RefSeq, a predicted model, not a curated record